This 579-nucleotide ribosomal RNA is filed under the name uncultured bacterium. Its description in RNAcentral is "bacterial SSU rRNA". It matches the Rfam family "Bacterial small subunit ribosomal RNA", at positions 338 to 916 of the family's 1533-position model. The record is from RNAcentral.
CCUACGGGAGGCAGCAGUGGGGAAUCUUGCGCAAUGGCCUAACGGCUGACGCAGCGACGCCGCGUGUAGGAUGAAGCUCUUCGGAGUGUAAACUACUGUUGCCCGGGACGAAUAGCUCGAUUAAUCGAGCCUGACGGUACCGGGUGGGGAAGCACCGGCUAACUCCGUGCCAGCAGCCGCGGUAAUACGGGGGGUGCGAGCGUUGUCCGGAAUCACUGGGCGUAAAGGGCGCGUAGGUGGUUUGAUAAGGGUGUGGUGAAAGCCCGGAGCUCAACUCCGGGUCUGCCGUGCCGACUGUCAAACUCGAGGACUGUAGAGGCAGACGGAAUUCCGGGUGUAGCGGUGGAAUGCGUAGAGAUCCGGAGGAAGACCGGUGGCGAAGGCGGUCUGCUGGGCAGUUUCUGACACUGAGGCGCGACAGCGUGGGGAGCAAACAGGAUUAGAUACCCUGGUAGUCCACGCCGUAAACGAUGGGUACUAGGUGCCUGGGGGAGCGACCCUCUGGGUGCCGGCGCUAACGCAGGAAGUACCCCGCCUGGGGAGUACGACCGCAAGGUUGAAACUCAAAGGAAUUGACGG